Long non-coding RNA from Diorhabda carinulata, 373 nucleotides. RefSeq lists it as uncharacterized. NCBI's taxonomy places the organism in Eukaryota, Metazoa, Arthropoda, Insecta, Coleoptera, Chrysomelidae. The record is from RefSeq and is a predicted model, not a curated record. The transcript has 2 exons.
AGAAACACCAUCGUCGGCCUCCAGUAAAGUUGUAUAUUCUAAUUGCAUUUUCAAUAAUUGUUCCUUUUCUUAAAAUAUAAAAUUAAAACCAAAUGAUGUUUAUUAAUCCUAGACGAAAAUUUGGCACUAGUGCAAAUUAUCGAUAAUUUGCACUAGUGCAGUAUUAUCGCUGAAAUUUGAUCGUUGCUAGGUAAACAUAAAAUAUUACAGCUUUUUGGUUGGCUUAAAUUUUUCGAAGGAAAUAGUCAAUAUUAAUGUCCCGAGUGCAUGUCAAAUUCAUAGAAACACCAUCGUCGGCCUCCAGUAAAGUUGUAUAUUCUAAUUGCAUUUUCAAUAAUUGUUCCUUUUCUUAAAAUAUAAAAUUAAAACCAAA